Molecule: ribosomal RNA, 244 nt
Filed under: uncultured bacterium
Lineage: Bacteria
Description: partial 16S ribosomal RNA
Rfam family: Bacterial small subunit ribosomal RNA
Source: RNAcentral
GCAAGUCGAGCGUGAAACUACUUUCGGGUAGGAGUAAAGCGGCGGACGGGUGAGUAACGCGUAGGAAUCUGCCCAAAAGUGGGGGAUAACUUGGGGAAACCCAAGCUAAUACCGCAUAGACCUAAGGGUGAAAGAUGGGGAUCUUCGGACCUAUCGCUUCUAGAGGAGCCUGCGUCGGAUUAGCUAGUUGGUGGGGUAAAGGCCUACCAAGGCGACGAUCCGUAGCUGGUCUGAGAGGAUGGCC